This 136-nucleotide small nucleolar RNA is filed under the name Sorex araneus (European shrew). RNAcentral's name for it is "U8 small nucleolar RNA (ENSSARG00000015729.1)". It matches the Rfam family "U8 small nucleolar RNA". From Rfam's summary of the family: U8 is a member of the C/D class of snoRNA which contain the C (UGAUGA) and D (CUGA) box motifs. U8 is the RNA component of a small complex (the U8 snoRNP) which is required for accumulation of mature large subunit ribosomal RNAs, 5.8S and 28S rRNAs. The record is from RNAcentral. Lineage: Eukaryota; Metazoa; Chordata; Mammalia; Eulipotyphla; Soricidae.
UUCUCAGAAAAGAUAAUCCUUACCUGUACCUCUAUCCAGAGGGCAAACAGAACAUGAUGAUUGGAGCUCAAAUGAUUCAUGAUUCGUCUAGCAACACCCUAGUUGCUAGCAACACCCUAAUCUGGUUAUUACUGAA